This 2850-nucleotide long non-coding RNA is filed under the name Triticum aestivum (bread wheat). Its description in RNAcentral is "long non-coding RNA (TAES_LNC025184)". The record is from RNAcentral. Lineage: Eukaryota; Viridiplantae; Streptophyta; Magnoliopsida; Poales; Poaceae.
UGAUGGUGGAAAGACAACAUUUGUUUAUGUCAUUGUCGAUAAGAAAAUGUGAGAAUAUAUCUUUUCUUUCGUCAUUAUUGUCGAAAGGCAACUAGUACUUAGCUUCUUGUAGUUAUAACUAGAUGAGUGUAGCAGUCAACACAGCUACAGCUACAACAUUUGUUUAUGUUCCUUGGUCUGCACCUCGACAUAAAUUAUUUUCAGUUUCACGACAUAACAUAAACUGUUCAGUGCACAACAUUUUUUUCACCCUGUGAUAUAAAUCACGUGAAGAUAAUCAUGAAAUGGUUGAAUCAUCCAAUUAUUUCUCAAAACUUUGGGUCGCGUCUCCUGGUCGACUUUGGUUAUUCUUAGUGUGACACUUCUGUAUGGAUCCCAAGUUUACAGGCCUGCAAAUCGGAAUUAUUCACCUCAAAGUUAGCUGGCUGUAUAUUCAUUUUCUAUGUUUCAUACAUGAUGCUCUUUACUGUUAAGUUGAACAGAUAGUACUGUAGUACUUAGUGGAAAGGAAAUUUCAUCAGCUUGCAUGUAUAUUAAUUGUAUGAUUUUUUGUCUUUCCAGGUUGCUGUCAGGUUGUGUAGGAAAGACAGACACUACACCACGCACUAGAUUUUCCUACAGAUGUGUGUUGUGAAAAGUCAGUUUCGCCGGCAAUUUUGUUUUCUUAUAUUGCUAUAUCAUUUUGUGCUUCUAAUGUUUUUCUGCACCAUUCGAGCUAGUAUGUUUUGCAUCAAAAAAUUAAAUGUGCACCACACUUUUUCAUCAAAUAUUCAUCUAUAGGCUGUAUGACUUUUAUUUUCCUAAACCUCCCUGGGCCAUUCGUGAGAGGGAGACAAUGUAAAUAUUCAAUUUUGUGUAAUGAUUUUCGCAAUAGCUUUUCUUGUGGGUUUGGCAAUUAUGUAAAGAUAAUUGACUAUAGCACAAACUGAAGAAGUUCUUGACCAUGUUUGUGUAAUUUGUACAUAGUAAGGAAACUAUGAUGUAGGUUGCAGUUCAUUUACAUGGCAUCGUAAGGAUUAAAACAUAUAUAUUAAUGCCUUAAAUUUAUGUUGCCUUUUUUUAUUUAAAGCAAAGACCGCUUUCUCGUGACUGUUGUUUGAAAAGUUGUCUCUCAGGUGGAAUUAGCUCAUGGUGGGAGUGAUUAAUCUUACUCGUAUGAUCGCCCAAGCAGCGUUAGCAAUGGAUGCCAUGGAGGUGUUUCUAGGUGCUCUGAGUACCAAGGUUUGUACUUCUAAAUGUCUCCUAUUGCAUUUCCAUAGCUGCUAAAUGUCUCCUAUUGCAUUUUCAGCGAUGUACUCAUAUAGCAUGCCUUUUACAAGAGGAAAAAUGGCAGAGUAUGAACACCAACUGAAAGUAGCAGAGUAUGAACUAAUGAAAAGUCGAAAGUAAGUCAUCCUGCUGAGUUAAAAUGUAGUAUAUUCAUCCACACAUUUUCAUUUUUGGUGGAAAGUAAAUAUAGGUAGAACAUUCAGCAGUACAAACACAACUAGCUGAAGUCAGUGAUAUAAGUUCUAUUCUGUUAUGAAAAUAGAACAUCUAAAACACAUGUGCUUUAUGUGAUGACUUAGUUCCUCCCUGCUUUUCCUUUUUAAAUUCAUCGUAAUUUACUAAACCUUCUAGUUCUGUUAUCUGGGCUAGACCUCCACAUAUCUUUUAUGUGAUGGUUUAGUUCCUCUAGAGAUUACCUUGAAAUUUGGAAUUUCAAAGUCUUCCUGUGAUUACUAAUUACCAAGAUAUCAUGUGGUAUUAUGUGAUAUUUAUAAUGGGGCACCGUAUUAUUAACUAACUUUUAUUGUCUAUACACUGAAUGCAAACAAGGUAUUUUGUGUUUUUAUUCUCUGUUUUGCAUAAGUGGCGUGCAACUGUUUCCAUGCUUUUUAUUAUCUGGAAGCAAUAGCAAGGAUUUAUCAUACAUGAGGGUACUUAAAGGCCAGCUAGGAAAUAAAAUAGCUUUGAAUACCAAACUCGAGAACCUACUUUUUUAAGUAGACUUUUAGUGCCGCCAUUAUCGUGAACUAUAUGCAGCAUGGAGCACUCUAAUUAUUCAUCUGCUAGAUCCACUAUGAACUACUAGAAAUCUGUACUAAAAGUCUGCACUAUCAAUUUCAAUUAUCAUGGAAACAGUCACAGUUAAAUCCACUAUCAAUUUCAAUUAUCUAAUUGUACUAUCAAUUUCAAUUAUCAUGGUAUAUUAAAGUCAAAGCUAAAUCAACUAUGAACUACUAGAAAUCUGUACAUCUACUGAAAGAGUCACAGUUAUAUAUAUAUAUAUUUAGUGUUUAGUUGUAUGUUUUUUUGGAACAAGUGUUGGAAUAUGGGGUAAUGGUACCUAUGUACAGUAACUUAAGUAUGUCCCAGGUACACUAUAUGCCCAGCAAUCGUAAAAAGUAAGUGAUGCAUUUCCUUUCGAAUGGAUAGACAAAAAGUGGGUGAAGGGCUUCUAUGCCACAUCUGUGGCUACUGCUGGAAGUUAAUUGCUGGUCUUGAUGUCCUGAAAUGCUACUUUUAUACAUUAGGCAUGAAUAUUCCUCAUUUUGUGCUGUUGUGUGUGCACAGUGCACAUGUGAAUUCUGCCAGCAUUCAAUUUCUUAUAUUAAUUGAACAUUCUAAUAAUGGAGACUUAUUUAAAUUCUGUAGGGCGCAAACAUAAGGAUUGGAAUCACAAUGAACCAUGAAGCCAGUGAUCCGCAUCAACUGGAUGUUCUACUUUUCAUUUUGUACAAUUGAUGUCUCAUACUACUUUCAUCUUUUUGCUUCUGUAAAUCUGGUGUAUGGUGUCCUGUGCGAACAGACUGAAGUGUAUGUAUGUGACAAUUAGUUAAUGGAAUAAAAAAUGUUUGGUGCACCUGA